Molecule: long non-coding RNA, 553 nt
Organism: Bos taurus (domestic cattle)
Lineage: Eukaryota; Metazoa; Chordata; Mammalia; Artiodactyla; Bovidae
Source: Ensembl
AGGGAGUUCGGGCCGGCUGGUGAGCGGGGAGGGGUCGGGUCGACCGAGGAAUCUGAAAAAUGCAGGUCCCUAGAAAUUAGGUUUACAAAAUAAUACACAUUUAUUUAGAACAUAACUAUAUAAAGCUAUAAAAAUCCAAUCUGUAACUUAAAAAUAUAUAGAUUAAAAUUAAGGCCUGGCUCCAUUAUCCUGCGGCGUCGCUCACAGAGCCCUGGGGAGACAGACGCUGUUCCCAUUUCACAGGGGCUGACUCUUGGGGCCCAGAUUGAUGGACCUGGGAGGCCGGAGAGAGAGGCUGAGGACAGUAGAGUGCCUUGCUUGGACCAGAUGCUGGAGCCAGCAUGGGGAUGACCUGAAGCCUGCCCUUGAGAAGGGAAUUCUGGGGCUAAAACCAAAAGCUUGAAAACAGACAGAUGACGUGCAGAAAACUUGGCUGAUCGUUACAAAUUUGAUGAAGAUUUUGUGUCCUGACUCUGAAAGAGUUUCUAAAAUAUAGAUUUAGUUUUUACAGAGAGAGAGGGAACACUUCCAAGCAAGCUGUUUAAUUUCACAG